Molecule: non-coding RNA, 34 nt
Organism: Bacteroides sp. CAG:144
Lineage: Bacteria; Pseudomonadati; Bacteroidota; Bacteroidia; Bacteroidales; Bacteroidaceae
Source: Rfam
ACGGAGGAACCGAAAAUCCGGAAAAGAGUAGGGG